Molecule: long non-coding RNA, 1537 nt
Organism: Oncorhynchus keta (chum salmon)
Lineage: Eukaryota; Metazoa; Chordata; Actinopteri; Salmoniformes; Salmonidae
Exons: 4
Source: RefSeq, a predicted model, not a curated record
ACUAGUAACCAGCAGGUAGCCUAGUGGUUAGAGCAUUGGACUAGUAACCAGCAGGUAGCCUAGUGGUUAGAGCGUUGGACUAGUAACCAGCAGGUAGCCUAGUGGUUAGAGCGUUGGACUAGUAACCAGCAGGUAGCCUAGUGGUUAGAGCGUUGGACUAGUAACCAGCAGGUAGCCUAGUGGUUAGAGCGUUGGACUAGUAACCAGCAGGUAGCCUAGUGGUUAGAGCAUUGGACUAGUAACCAGCAGGUAGCCUAGUGGUUAGAGAGUUGGACUAGUAACCAGCAGGUAGCCUAGUGGUUAGAGCAUUGGACUAGUAACCAGCAGGUAGCCUAGUGGUUAGAGAGUUGGACUAGUAACCAGCAGGUAGCCUAGUGGUUAGAGCGUUGGACUAGUAACCAGCAGGUAGCCUAGUGGUUAGAGCGUUGGACUAGUAACCAGCAGGUAGUCUAGUGGUUAGAGCGUUGGACUAGUAACCAGCAGGUAGCCUAGUGGUUAGAGCAUUGGACUAGUAACCAGCAGGUAGCCUAGUGGUUAGAGCGUUGGACUAGUAACCAGCAGGUAGCCUAGUGGUUAGAGCGUUGGACUAGUAACCAGCAGGUAGCCUAGUGGUUAGAGCGUUGGACUAGUAACCAGCAGGUAGCCUAGUGGUUAGAGAGUUGGACUAGUAACCAGCAGGUAGCCUAGUGGUUAGAGCAUUGGACUAGUAACCAGCAGGUAGCCUAGUGGUUAGAGAGUUGGACUAGUAACCAGCAGGUAGCCUAGUGGUUAGAGCAUUGGACUAGUAACCAGCAGGUAGCCUAGUGGUUAGAGAGUUGGACUAGUAACCAGCAGGUAGCCUAGUGGUUAGAGCAUUGGACUAGUAACCAGCAGGUAGCCUAGUGGUUAGAGAGUUGGACUAGUAACCAGCAGGUAGCCUAGUGGUUAGAGAGUUGGACUAGUAACCAGCAGGUAGCCUAGUGGUUAGAGCAUUGGACUAGUAACCAGCAGGUAGCCUAGUGGUUAGAGAGUUGGACUAGUAACCAGCAGGUAGCCUAGUGGUUAGAGCAUUGGACUAGUAACCAGCAGGUAGCCUAGUGGUUAGAGAGUUGGACUAGUAACCAGCAGGUAGCCUAGUGGUUAGAGCGUUGGACUAGUAACCAGCAGGUAGCCUAGUGGUUAGAGCGUUGGACUAGUAACCAGCAGGUAGCCUAGUGGUUAGAGCGUUGGACUAGUAACCAGCAGGUAGCCUAGUGGUUAGAGAGUUGGACUAGUAACCAGCAGGUAGCCUAGUGGUUAGAGAGUUGGACUAGUAACCAGCAGGUAGUCUAGUGGUUAGAGCGUUGGACUAGUAACCGAAAGGUUGCAAGAUCAAAUCCCCGAGCCGACGACUUAAAAAUCGUUCUGCCCCUGAACAGGCAGUUAACCCACUGUUCCCCGGCCGUCAUUGAAAAUAAGAAUUUGUUCUUAACUUACUUGCCUAGUUAAAUAAAGUUAAAGUAUAUUAUAUUUUUAAAUCAGUCCAUCCACCCAUCGUUCCAUCCAUCUUGUGACAGGA